GAUGAACGCUAGCUACAGGCUUAACACAUGCAAGUCGAGGGGCAGCAUGAACUUAGCUUGCUAAGUUUGAUGGCGACCGGCGCACGGGUGAGUAACACGUAUCCAACCUGCCGAUGACUCGGGGAUAGCCUUUCGAAAGAAAGAUUAAUACCCGAUGGCAUAGUUCUUCCGCAUGGUAGAACUAUUAAAGAAUUUCGGUCAUCGAUGGGGAUGCGUUCCAUUAGGUUGUUGGCGGGGUAACGGCCCACCAAGCCUUCGAUGGAUAGGGGUUCUGAGAGGAAGGUCCCCCACAUUGGAACUGAGACACGGUCCAAACUCCUACGGGAGGCAGCAGUGAGGAAUAUUGGUCAAUGGACGAGAGUCUGAACCAGCCAAGUAGCGUGAAGGAUGACUGCCCUAUGGGUUGUAAACUUCUUUUAUACGGGAAUAAAGUGAGGCACGUGUGCCUUUUUGUAUGUACCGUAUGAAUAAGGAUCGGCUAACUCCGUGCCAGCAGCCGCGGUAAUACGGAGGAUCCGAGCGUUAUCCGGAUUUAUUGGGUUUAAAGGGAGCGUAGGCGGACGCUUAAGUCAGUUGUGAAAGUUUGCGGCUCAACCGUAAAAUUGCAGUUGAUACUGGGUGUCUUGAGUACAGUAGAGGCAGGCGGAAUUCGUGGUGUAGCGGUGAAAUGCUUAGAUAUCACGAAGAACUCCGAUUGCGAAGGCAGCCUGCUGGACUGUAACUGACGCUGAUGCUCGAAAGUGUGGGUAUCAAACAGG
RNAcentral lists this ribosomal RNA (758 nucleotides) under uncultured bacterium. RNAcentral's name for it is "bacterial SSU rRNA". It matches the Rfam family "Bacterial small subunit ribosomal RNA", at positions 28 to 776 of the family's 1533-position model. The record is from RNAcentral.